Long non-coding RNA from Aethalodelphis obliquidens (Pacific white-sided dolphin), 13699 nucleotides. RefSeq lists it as uncharacterized. Lineage: Eukaryota; Metazoa; Chordata; Mammalia; Artiodactyla; Delphinidae. The transcript is spliced from 15 exons. The record is from RefSeq and is a predicted model, not a curated record.
CUUACAUGUUUAAGAUGAUUUUUAAAAGGUAACGAAACAAACAAAACCCCCCAAACCUUAGUUAGGGACUGGGAUUCUAUUUGGGCAUCCUGUUUCUCCCCUUCCCUCUCUACCUGUCCUUCCUACCUACCCUGCCAAAGCUGCUCUGAGACAAGUCUGUAUAUAGUCCCAUGCUGUUUACCCUUGGGAGCUCUCAGCCCAUGCUCCACCCUGGCCAUAUCCGCCCUCUUUACCCAUUCAUUUCUGUCCCCUCUGAGCAGAGGUGAGGGAGGCCACGUCACACAUGCAGUCUCAGCUGGGGUGGCAGCAGCUACCGGGACCCCCUUUCCUUAGAAGCAGUCAGUCAAGUGGGAGUUCCUUUUCUCAGUUCCUGGAUCACAUCUGCUUAUUAAGAAAAAGUAUUUUAAGACUUGAAAAUGAGGCAAAAGGUGAUGGCAUGUCAUUUCAGUGUUAACUCAAAAAGAUAACCCCAAAGGUUUCAGUUUAUUAUUCCCUAGGGCAUUAACCAGUUUUGUACUAUUUUGUAUUAACCUAGCACUCAAAUUCUAACAGUCCUUUAUGAAAUUGCUAUAAAUAUCAAGUUCCCCAAGUGUUCCUGGAAUUAUAUUACUAUUUCCAUCAUUCAUUAAUGAAUUGAAUGAAGUAUUUGAUGUGCUCAUUUCAAUCCUGUAAUAGUUAUCUAUUGCUGGGUAACAAAUUAUCCCAAAUCUUAGUGGCUUAAACAAAUAAUAAACAUUUGUUAUGUUACACAGCUUCUGUGGGUUGGGAAUUCAAGAGCAUUUUAGUAGAAUGAUCUAGCUUGGGUUCUUUCAUGAGAUUGCAAUCGGCCAGGACUGCAGCCAACUGUAGGAGCCUGGGCGGAUCUGCUCUCCAAGAUGACUCCCUUAUGUGGGUGACAAGCCAAUGGUCACUAUUGGCAGGAGGCCUCAGUCCUCACCAUGGGGACCUCACCAGAUACCUGCGUGAGUUUCCUCAUGACAUGGCAGCUGGCUUCCCCCAGAGCAAGUGAUCCAGGAGAGAAUAGGGGAAAGUCACAGCGUCUGCUAAGACCUAGAAGUUACAUCCUGUUGGUCACAUUAGUCAGUCCUGUUCAUUGUGGGAAGAGGUGACACAAGGGCAAGAGUACUGGAGGAUGGGGAUCAUUGGGGGAAGUCUUAGAGGCUGGCUACCAACAUCCUCCCUCUGUGCCCCAGUGAUUCACGUCCUACCCACACACAAAAUGUGCUUAGCCUCCCCCAGGGCCCCCAGUGCAGUAGAGUAUCAGUUUGAAGUCCAGAAUUUCAUUAUCCAAAUUAGAUCCAGAUGUUCUUGAGGCUCCUUAGGUGUAGUUCCUUGAAUCCUCAAAGCCAGGUCUGAAAUUUGUGAACUAGAGAGACAAGUUAUCUGCAAUAAUAGGACAAGCAUAGCAUAAUUACUGAAGACCCUCCUGUUCAACAGAGUUGGAAAUUGGGGAUGCACGGAAGUCACUGGUUCAUAGCAAUUCUGAAAUCCAGUAGGGUACAAAUUGACAUUUCCUGGGAAUAAUUUUCCACAGCUCUUGGAUUUACUCUGCAGGCUUUUGGUUUUACCCUCUGAGUCAUCCUUCCUUUUCCUGUAUUUGUGUAGUUUUCUCAGCCUGCUUCUGCCUUGUACAAGUUUCAGGGUCCAAAGACAUCUUUUCAGUUUGUGCUGUCUGUCCCUUUCAGCUCAAGCUGUCAGUGCUUCUUCCAAUAUAAUUCUCUUAAAAACCUUGUGGAUGACCUGUGAAUCUCACUGCGGGGUGGGGGGCUCACUCCAUUAGAGGAAAAAAAAAGCUUCACCUACAAAUAGCUCCAAUAUAUGCCCUGAAAGGACAGGGUUGUUGAAGUGCUCAGUCUGUGGCAUUUGUUAUUUGUAUGGCAGCCCGAGCCGACUAAGGCACAGUCACACUCUUGGGUUCAUCUUUAGACCAGAUUUUCCUGAUGGUGCCUGUACUUGAUUUUUACCUAAGAGCCCUUUAGAUUUAACAUCAUUUGCCAUCUGGAGAAGGUGAGAAUUUUCAAAAGCAGGAAGUGCUGCCUCUCUUUUUUUUUAACAGUCCUGCCUUUAGCUCAUUUCUCUUGUCUCACUUUUUACCAGAAGCAGCAAGAAGAAAUCACUCUUCAGUACUCUGCUUGGACCAUCUCCUUUGCUAGACCACCCCAUGCCUAAGGUGCUGCUCCAUUUCAUUCCUUCAGAACCUUAUGAAGUAAGCUCACUGAUUGACCAGAUGGACCCUGGUGGAGGCAUGCAGGGAUCAACUCAGGUGUCUCAUUUCUGUUCCCAUCUGAACCUGAAUCCAGGCAUUUGCAAGGAGCCUGUGACAUGCCAGGGGCAGCGGCUGCUGCUGCCACAGCCAUCAUCCCUCCAUCUCAGGGGCCCUUAGAGCCCCAUGGCCUGAGCCACCUUUGUGCAUGGCAGCCAGAGGGGCCUGGCGCCACCCCAUCACAACCCCUGCUGGAAACAGCUGCCCGCCCUCCUGUUGUUGGGAGGGAGCAGCAUUUGCUCCCCGGCACUGUCUCUGAGAGCAGCCUUGGCCAGAGAAAGGUUGGCGGAGUAGAGUUUGUUCAUCUGUUCCAUCUGCUCCCACCGCCAUGGAAGAGGUCACGACGGCCCACUUAUGUGCAGCCAGUAAAUCUAUGAAAAGAAACAAAGGACUCGAAUCGACAUUGCCAAGGCCCACAGAUGGAACUUCAUGAGUCAGGUCUUCUCCUCAUGUGCGUCACCCACCAGAAUCAAAAGCACCUUUGCUGGUCCCAGGAGAGAUCUCUCUUCCCACCAAGGAUAGAGGCCCCCAGCUCAGUUGGACCUCACUAAGCAGGGAGAGUUUAAGCCUCUGUCGCCAACCCGACGGCUGAGGACCCAGGGCUUCAGUGGAAAGCUGGCAGCUUGUCGCCUGUGAAGCACCCUCUUCACCUCGGAUGAGAGCGGGGGUGGGGAAUGGAGCUGAAGAAGGUGUGCAGCCAGGUCUCCUUGAAGGAGAGGAAGAGCUGGCUGGUCAUGAUGCAACAAGGACACCCAGGAGCAGGCUAAAAUUCCCCCAGUGAUAUUGGACUGGCCCCUCCUCAGGCCCAGGAGAACUGGAAAGGAUUGGACCCCGGCUUCAGGAAAGGGUGUGAGAAAAGGUGGUUCCCUUUAUCCCGCAGACCAGCAAGGAUCAGUGGUCUCAUGAAGAAAGGUGGUCCAUGGCUGACGGUGCUGGGUUUCCUGCAGGCGUAACGCAGGAGGGAGCGAGGCCCGUGUUCACAGCCUCCAUCAUCUCUCACCGGCUCUUGUUUACAAAGUGCCAACCCAGGCUGCAUGCUGCUCUGGGCCUUCCUGGAAGGGGUCAUUCAUCUGGGAGGAAAGUAGGGGUCCCUGAGAAUGAUGAAGGGCGAUGGAGGGCGGCCACCAGGGCCUCCUACCUCUGUGUUUCCCAGAAGAAGGUCACAAGAUGGCAGGGACCAGCCUCGGUCCAGGGAGCACCUCCUCAGGCAGAAGCUGGUGGAACUUCGGGUUCUGACUCCCAAGUUCAAUGGCACCAGCGACGUGUAGCUCUAACUUGUGACUUCUCCUGCCUCUCUCUGUGUGUGCCCAUGGGGGUGGCCUGAGGAAAUGCCACUGCUUCCUGGCAGUGCUGAGAGCUGCCCUCUGUUUACAUGGAUGAAUCUAGAAUGAAGAUGGCUAAUCACAACAAUGGCUAAUACUUUUGGAAGGCCUACCGUGUGCCGGAAAGAAGUGCUUGUAAUGGAUUAUUUCACUUAAAGCAGUCUUUCAACACGUAUCCUGUGUGCCGGCAAGGUUCUAGGCACUGCAAUGCAGCAGUGGAUGAAAGAGACAGAAUCCCACGGAUGAACAACAUGUGGUCUGUACACACGACGGGACAGUAUUCAGCCUUAGAGGAAGGGAAUUCAACCACGUGCUACAACAUAGAUGAACCUUGAGGACGUUGUGAAGGAAAUAAGCCAGAUACAAAAGGACAGAUACUGCAGGAUUCCACUUACAUGAGAACUUCCUUUGAGUCUUUGUCAUCUCGGUCUCCUGCCCUCCCCGUGCUCUUGCUUUUUGCCUGCUGAGUUGUGAGAAUCAAAGAUCAUCACACAGAUGGAAAAAACAGGGAUGCGAGCAGGUGCUGGUGCUGGUGGUUGACCGGUCACAGGGCCAGUGGAUUCUAUCCCCCGUCCCCUACGGACUCAUCCUAUCCUCACAUCCACCGCCUGCCUCUCCGCAGCCCUGUCUCCUCCUAAAGACUGUCUUCAGGGCACGUCCAGCACAGGUGACUCAUGGUCCCUCCACUGGUGCCAGAUGUCAGCUGUCCCUCGUCCUCUGGCGCCAGCAUUUGUGGGAACAGCCUCUAUGUCUAUCCUGCAUGAACUUGGGAGCAGAACUCAGAAAGCAUCCCCUCACGCAAGAGCAGAAGUCUGCGUAGUAGGAUUUCCAGAAGCUCUCCCAAGGGAGGCGGUGUGGGCGUUUACAUCACAGCAAACUGCUUAAAGAUCCAUUUCAGGUGUUUCGCUUCUCGAAAAGCUUUUUCUAUCUCCCUGUCCCCAGGAAGUGCCCGACCUGGGUGGCGGUCCUCUCCUCGUUCAUUACAAGCGGAGCAGCCCUGCCCAGCCUCCACUCCCAAACUUGCAGAAAACUCUGUACAGACCAUAGUGAAACAAAGAGUGACGGGGUUAACUAGACCUACUUUCAUUUUAAAAGGCCGCUUUAUGAUCAUUUCUGAUAAUCAUGUCAUUCACCAUAAGUGACUUAUCAAAAUAUUUUUUUCAAAGAGAUGUCUCUGCCUAAGAAAAAUAAUAAUUUUUAUUUCACUACUGAGUUUUUAAUUGGAGGUUGUAAACGUCGUGUCAUAUUUAACGCUCAUUAGACUCCCUCCCUUUGGAUUCCAGUAAACAUCACACUGUCUGUUAAUGUGCUCAGGAGAUCCUGUUUGGAUGCCAAGCACUGACCUGGAAAGCUGGCUGGGGCAGGAACUGGUAUGUAGAGGAAGCGUGGAAGAGGGGCCCUUUGGAGGGAGGAAGAGGUGCUACCAGCACACAUCUGGAUGCUGAUUCCACUUCCCUCCUGCCUCCCUUCAGGGCCUUCCCGUUGCUUCCAAGGAAAAGCCCACACCUCUUAGCUAGGUGUGCAAGGCCCCCGCCCACAGUUGAGCAUCAACUGGAAUUUCAGACCUCACCUCCUACCAUUUCUCUGCACCUUAACCAAGCUGAGUAUUCCCGUGUAAUGCCAUUCAUUGGGUGUUCUUAAUGUGGUCCCUUACACUACUGAGUGCUCUAGGGUCUUGUAACAACUGAGGGCACGCCCUGCUCCUGCAGCCCCAUCCCAUCCAUGGAGGGCAAACCUUUAAGCUGCGGCAGGCUAGUCUCCUGGGCCUGGAUCCCUGAGGCUUCCCCACCAGCACGGUUACCUUGGAAACCGUGCAACCCUGCCCCCCACACCCUCGGAGGUGGGCGUGAGUAGCAGGGUCAGAAGCCAUAGUGUCAUUGCAUAUUGAUUCAACCAGGUUGUGGAAAUAAUGGAUUAACACUGGACUGGAUGAGAAUUUGUCCCAGUAACCUGGGCCAUGUUGCCAGGCCUUUGAGGUGCAGCAUGAGUUCUCUUACCCUCAGGCCAUCCCCCGAAUUCCUGGCCUGUCACCACAUACCUUGCAGUGGUGUCUGUCCUGGACCUGCGUCAGAGGCCGAACUCUGUUGCGUCCUGCAGUGAAGCCUGGGUUAGAUGCUGCUGGGGAAGGACCAGAGGAGAAUCAUCUUGGGACCUAACCUCUGGCACUGCCAGACUAAUCGUGAAGGUUCUGGAAGGCCCGUGGGCACUUCGCGAAGCCUGAGGGUUUUGCUGACACCAUGAAUCUCUCUAGCAGACGCCUGGCUGAGGCACACAGAGGCUCUGGAUGAACGUUCCCAGCUUCUCUGCCCCUUCCACUGCUGUCCAUGGAGCUCUGCAAACUCACCUCCCACUUAGGGGUCUUUUCACCCCCUUUCUGCCAGGAGACGCGAAGCCUGUGACUCGGAGAGGUUAAGUGAUUUGCCAGAUCCCACUGUCGACAAAUUCGCUGCAGAAUUGGGAGUGGAAUCCGUCCCUUCUGACGCCUUCCCUCCCCUCCACGGAGUAGACAGGUGCACUCCCUCGGCUGGGGCAGCCCCCGAGACCUCUGGGGCGGGUGGAGUCCAGCCUUGCGACACCCCUGUCUUCGUACCUGGCCUCCUCCCCUCCCCGUCCUCUGGGAACCUGCCUUGUCCAGAGGCAGCCACACACCCUUGUCCCAGGAGAUUUGUCUUUCUGUUGCUUCCACCCGGAGGGCCUGGUUCCACCUCUGGGGUCAGUACCGUCAUUCUGGUCCUCCUACAGUGACGACAGUCCUCACGGGAACCCAGAGGUCUGUCCUUCUGUUGUCUCUUUUCCAGGUGAAGUAACCCUGCUUCCUGCCUAUGAUUCUGACACCAAUUCCCGUGGGUGUGUUUUUUUUCUCCCACCAAGCAAUUUUUUUUUACACCACCAAGCAAUUAACUCAGUUCUGACACUACUUGGAGACAGCGUCAGAUCCCACAGAUGAAGGGCUCAGCCCCACAAGACUGCCCCCCCCCCAACCUUCAGAUGCCAAUUGCAAGUCCAGGUUGUCACCGGUGACCCACCAGCUGUCUAGUGGGCAUUCUCACAACCACCUCCUUGGGUUCGAUUAAUUUGCUAGAGCAGCUCAGAAGUCAGACAAGCAUUUUACUUACUAGAUCACUGGUUUAUUAUAAAAGGAUUAACUCAGGAGUCAGAUGGAAGGGAUGCAUAGGGCAAGCAUGGGGAAAGGGGCACAGAGCUUCCAUGCUCUCUCUGGGGGCUGCUCCCCCAAAUCUGUAUGUGUUCACCAACCCAGAAGCUCCCCAAACCAUGUCCUUUGGGGUUUUUCUGGAGGUUUCAUUGCGACUGAUUAAAUCGUUGGCCAUUGGUGAUUGACUCAAACUCCAGCUCCGCCCCGCUCCCCAGAGGCUGGGGGAGGGACUGGAAUUUCCAACCCUCCAGGCACCCUAUUCACAUAACAGAGACACCUUUAUGGCUCUCCUCCAGUAGGUAAUCCCAAGGGUUUUGGGAGCUCUGUGCCAGGAGCAGGGACUCAGACCAAAUUUAUAUUUCCUGUUAUAAAUCACAGCAUCACAGUCCUUCAUCGUGGGAAGCCUGGCGUCCAAGGGUCCCCUUCCCCGUCCGUGCGGCUGCCCUGUACUUUCCGACCACCCCAGCGCAGCUGAGCAGGAGAGGAGGCCACCGUGCUUGCGGGUCCAGCUCCGGGAGCCGCCACCACCUGCCAGCGCCACUUCCCCAGAUGUUCCUGUGCUCGGCAGUGUGGCCGGAGCCGAGCCAGCCAGGGUGUGAGCCCUGAGCCGGACGGGGAUCCAGAUCCUGGAAGCAGGAGAGGAGCGGCGGCCAGCGCCUGGCACGGGGGACGGCAACUCCGCCAGCCUGGAUCUGGGAGAAGCGCGAGGACAGCUCUGCUCCUGGAGGAACAUCAGACGCAGCCUGCCUGAGUUCCCAAAGUGAACCCCAGGAAUGCAGAUGAAGAGUAGAAUGCUAACAUGUGGGCUGAUGCCUCCCGCCAGGUACCAGGUUUGUUUUUUUAUUCACCAACUCUGCCCAUCCCUUUUAUCCUUGAGAGCUCAUUCAUGGGGGAAGGUUUGGGCCCAAUUUUAUUUUUCUUCUGCAUGGUCGCUGUGGGCUGUUCUCCAUCCAUUUCCUCAUUAGCAUCCCUGUUCCCCCUUCCCCCAUGCCUCUGCGUCGCUGCUUGGAGGGCGGGUCCGUGGCUUCUAUAAUUCUGUGCUCUCUGCAUGGCAACCAGGUGACUGACCCCUCUUUAAAGCUCAAAGGGCCGUUGCUUAAAGCUUUCUCUGAAAAAGAGCGCCCUGCCCAUAGUCGAGCUCAAUGGUUGUUGGAACCAAGGAGAACCUUUGAAGAUGCCCUCUCCUCGCCACCGGCCUCUACAAAGAAACAGACCUUUCUGACCACAGCCUCUCCACGGAGUUUGCCCUACUUAGCUAGCCCGAGGACGGCUGACUCUGAGUCAGCUUCUCCACGGUCUCUGCCUCUCGGCUGUCCUGGUUUAUAUAAUAUUCAGAGUUUGGGCUGUUAGCUAGCUGUCCCCCUUCAGUCUCAGACCUGGGAUUGUGGCCGAGAGAGGUGGGCAGGGCCCAGCCGUUUCCCCAGCUGUGGACACCAUCCCAGAGAAGGCCCCCGUUUUAGCUGCAACACAGCAGAGGGGGACCAGCAAGGACACUGGUGGCCACCAUUCAAUCCAUUUCUUCAAGCCUCAAUUUCUUUAUUGAAUGUGACGUUGAGAAGCGUGGCCCAUGAAGUCGACCGGGUAAUGAGGUAAACAUCCAGCAUGAUGUGCGUACGUGGUAGGUGGAAUGGGUUGAAUAGUGAGCCCCCCAAAUUCAUGUCCGUCUGGAACCUCAGAAUGUGACCUCAUUUGGAAAUAGGGUCUCUGCAGAUGCAGUUAAGGUAAGGAUGGAGAUGAGAUCGGCCUGGAUUAGGGUGGGUCCUGAGUCCAAUGAGAGUGUCCGUAUAAGAGACAGAAAAAGACACAGGGACACAGAGAAGGCGGCCGUGUGAGGACUAGAGGCAGAAAUGGGAGUGUUGCAGCCACAAGCCAAGGAAUGCCAGGAGCUGCCAGAAGGUGAAAGAGGCCACAGAGGGUUCUUCCCUAGAGAGGGUGGCCCUGCUGACACCUUGGCUUUGGGCCUCUGGCCUCCAGACUGUGAGAGAGACAUUUCUGUUGUUUUUAAGCCACCAAGUUCGUGGUGACGUGUUACAGCAGCAACAGGAGACUAAUACAGGAUGUUCUUAAGGGACAGCUAUUACCUUCUUUCUUUUUAGGAGAAGACUGGACUGUUUAGAGACUUGCUGGGAAAGGAGGAGGGGAGGGCAGUUGGAGGGAGGAUCCAGCUGGGGACAGAGGGGCCCGAGGGGGAAGGCUUUGCAGGGCAGGGCAGGGCAGGGUGUGCGAGGGCGGAGGUGCUGGGAAUUAACGCUUUGAGGAGUUGACCUGCCCCUUCCUAUGUUUCCUGCUCCCACCCACACCAACACACUCCCCGGGGAGUAGGGGUGGGGACACAGUGCAUUCCAUAGGUUCAGAAAGUCAGUGGACACCCCAGAGCCCCUGGCCCCCUGAGCCAAGACUGGACGAUGUUCAGAGGUGGCUUAACUGAGUCUGGACCUGCCGUCUCCGCAGGUGAAGGCUGAGCAGCUAGGUGGGGGUGCCCACCUGGCUGUGACCCGCUCGGCUGCCCAGGGGCACAGGUGCCAACGUAGCAGAAGUUGACAGAGGCCCCAGUGCAGUUUGCUAAGUUACAAGGGACCAAACUGCGGGGACCCCUGGUAUUUGGGGUGUGUUUAACCUUUGCAAGCUUCUGGCAAGGGACACGCAGCAGCGCUUACCCGGCACGUCUCUGCGGUGCCUGGGAAGCAAAGCCUGCUGUCUCUAGGUUGUUUCACACGGUGUAGCCUGGGCUCCCGAGCCUGACUUGGUUCCAUCAGGAGGGGAGGUGUGGCCCCCGCUUCCCACACCACGGGGUCAGUUACAUGCAGCUCACUUGUGUCGCUUUUACGGGUCUCAGAAGCCAAGGGCAGUCCGUUCUCUCCCUCAUCCUUGUUACUGUCUCCAUCUUCAAGAGUUUGGUUCUCAAACACUGGACCAGCUUUGAAGAGACGAGGCUGGAAGAACUAAAUCUCCAGUCCCGCCAGAGGGCUACGUGCCGCAGCUCCCGCGCCCGCCGGGGAGAGAGACUAGGGUGCAGCCAUGAGAGGUUGGACCCGGGCCUUCCCUGUCGGGGGCGGCCUGCUCUGACCUCAGCCUUGCUCCCCGGGAGAGCACCCCCAGCACAGCCUCACAUGGGGCUGGAGCCCCGGGGCAGCCAGACCUCCCGGUGGUUCAUGCGGGAGCUCUCUCAAAGGCAACGGUGAGGCAGGGAAUGCCAGGCAGGAAGGAAUGCUAUCAGAUUCACCUUUUUAAAAAGAUCGUCUUGGGACUUCCCUGGUGGUGCAGUGGUUAGGACUCUGCGCUUCCACUGGAGGGGGCCCGGGUUCCAUCCCUGGUCGGGGAACUAAGAUCCUGUAAGACGAGUGGCAUGGCCAAAAAAAAAAAAAAAAAAAGGAACGUCUGUGGGUUUGAGAGAACAGAUGAACAUGGGGGACAGUGGAGGCAGGGGUGCAGGUGAGGGCGAAGCAGAGAGCAGCCUCGAUGAAGACGAAGGUGAGAGCCGGUUCAGAGGUGAACUCGGACCUGAGUCAGCGGACCGCACGUGCGGCAAGGGGGUGAGUUUUCACGCACAGACCCUGCGCGCUCCUGGAUAAAUCAGACCAAGCACACAGCAGGCAUGAGAGAAAAACUUGCUCGGUCCUUCCCCCUAGCGCCCACCCAGAGCCUCACCUGCACCACGUCCUACAUUUCCCACCCUUCCCCCUCCAUGCCUGGGUCUGCAGCUCCAGCAGCCAGGCUCCCUCCCCGACUUUUUUUUUUCCAGUUGAAAAUACUGCAGAUGUCACCGAUGGGCCAACCCAGACUUGUGACUCUCUAACUCUACGGAAUGUGUAAUUAUAGCAACACAAGCGUCAAAUUACCAAGGACAAGUAGCUGCAAAUAGCACAGAGUGAAGAGCAAAAGCCCUUUUUCACCCCCGGCCCAACCCUGCUUUCCCACAAGCCCAGGAAUAGUCAUUGUUAACAGCGUUUAAUGCCCCAUUCCUAAAUCACAUAAGCAUCCUAUAUCGUGAUUCAUCAUCUUUGUGGAAGACAUUCCUCCCAGGCCUGGUGGUCCUUGAAAAUUUAUUCACGUUAAGAGGUGGAUACAAGAAAUGGAUUGGAGCCCUUUGUGCACAGGUGGGGCCUGUUAAUUGUUUGGGGAACUGUACUGGAAGAGGAAGGGGUGGUCCGCAGGCUUUUUCCUAUCUUUGGGUCUUACUGUUCUUGGGGGUGUUUCCAUUUCUUUAGUGAAGACUCCUCCAGUUUCCUGACCGGGAGUGUAACCCUGUUUGCUGGCGUUCUGGGACUGGGAAGGAGCAGGGAGCUAAUUGUCUCAGCAGUCUGUGUGCAAACCUUAAAUGAAUUCCCCUAAGUCUGGUCACAGGACCACCCAUGGCCACCCUCCUCAUGCCUGGCACCUGUGAAUUGGUUCAAGCUCUUAGCACUGCUGGGGGAUGGGUGAAUUGGUUGUGGGACUAGGUGGGGUCAGGAGCUGGGAAUCUAAGCUCUCCUCCUCCUGACUUUCAAACGACCUUCCUGCUUCCACUUCUUCCCUUUCCCUGAAACUGCGCCCCCUCCACCACCUGUGCCUCCAGAUCCAGAGGCUUCCUGGGCUUCACGGCCAAUCUGCUUUCUCUGGACCCAACUCACCACUGUAGGCUCUUAGGUAUGACAUUCCUGCUCCCAGCUUGGUCAUUUUCAUCUGCUUUUUGCCUUCAUUUUGUUCUAAGUUACAAAGAUUCUUUAGUUUCAUCAAAAAUGCAUCCAUAUUUCUGACUUUUUUCCUUUUACUAUUUGAGAUGAAUUUAAGAAGAAAAAAUUGACAGGAAUGUCUUUAUCUGAUAUCUAGAAACUCAUUGGAAACAGUAUUAAGUGAAGAUCACUGAAAGACAUGUAGUCCUUCCAUACAUCUAGAUCAUCUAAAAAAAUUCUUUGAAUUUAGCCUGAGCCACAGAGAGCUGUAUACCUGAAGGCUAUUGCAUUGGCUUCCUGAGUUACUGAGUUGCACAUUAAUGUGAUGCUACCAGCUUGUAAGUCCCAAGGAGCUCAUUGCUGUGUGUCCAGUAAGGAAGCUUUGAAGGACAUUGAUCAUUGAAAUAAACAUUGUUCUCUCAAAAGGAUCCUCAAGAGAAUUUACUUGUCCUAUCUUUGUAUACUGUCCAGUUUAUUAUUAUUAUUAUUAUUUUUAAUUGAGUGAUUGGUUUGCUUUUACUCUUUGGUGUGUAUGUUUCCCUUUUCCCAUUGGCUUCUAGGCAGCUCAGAGCACAAUUUUGGGCUUGCUUUUAGCAAGGAUAUAGAACUUAGUUUUGUGUUCUAGUCUCAUUUUUGUUAGUAUUUUAUCUCCUCCUCUUGUUUACCAUUGCCUUUGUUUUUUCUUCCCUCUCACCCACUCCUAAUUCUUGUCGUGUUGCUCUGUUUUAUAUGUGGGUUGCCAAUAGCUUUAACUCUUUUUUGUACCAUAGAGUUAUUGAAAUAAGUAAGUAGAAAAUUGAUAAUAGAAAUGAAUGAAUGCAGAAAUAUUCACAAUUUUGUAUUGUUUGAUGUAUGCCCUCUUUAGUCACAGAUUUGGUCAUUUCUUACUAUUGGUCUAAUUUAAUCUUUUCCUUUUAUAGAUGAGGCAAGUGUGGUCUAGAUAAAUUGAUGUAGUCAACAUCAGGUACCUUCAAAUUGUUGUGAUACCAUCACAACCCUCCAUCCAUAGAAUUCUUCGCAUUUUGCAAAACCGAAACUCUGUACCUAUUAAACAAUAACUCUUCAUUCCCCACUCUCAUGGUAACCAGCAUUGUACUUUCUGUCUCUAUGAAUUUGAGUGCUCUAGAUACCCCCACAUAAGUGGAGUCUACAGUAUUUGUCUUUUUUUGUGUCUGGCUUAUUUUACUUAGUGUAACGUCUUCAUGCUACUUGUAGUAGCGUGUUUCAGAAUUUCCUCCCUUCUCAAAGCUAAAUAAUAUUCCAUUGUAUGCAUAUACACAUUUUAUUUCUCCAUUCCUCUAUCGAUGGACUCGGGUGGCUUCCGUUUUUUGCCUGUUGUGAGUAAUGCUGCUGUGAACAUGUGUGUACAGAUACUCUUCCUGUGUUGCCCCUUUACAGCCACACCCACCUCCCUCCCCCACCCCCUCAUUAACCACUGGCAACCCCUAAUCUGUUAUCAUUUCAACAGUGUUGUAGAAAUGCAGUCAUACAGUGUAUAACGUUUUGGGAUUGGCUUUUUCACUUUGAAGAAUUCCCUGGAGAUUCAUCCAGUGCUUACGAUACUGGAAUGACCAGUCUUGGGCAUGUGUCCUUGGAGACAUGGGCAAAAGCAUCUAAUAUCGAAAGUUCUAUACUCAAGAAGGGGCAUAGGUCAUGAGAAUAUUCAACUUUACUAGAUAUUGCCAAGGUUCUAUCCAAGGAAGAUGCUACCAGUUUAUACUCCCACCAGCAAUUUAUGAGACUUCCUUUUUCUCCACAUCAAAGAAUCCGAUUUUUGUUCUGAGAAGAUCACUCUGGCUGCAAAGUUAAAAGUGAGCUGGGUGGGGGUAGGGAGGUGUGCAAGGGGGGUCCCGGCACGUGGAGAGCUAAGAGGCAGGCCAGCCAAGCUUCCUCAGCUCCAGACUGGUGGUGGAGGACUUCCUGAAUGACCCUCUGCUGCCUGUUCCCAUUUUCCCUUUUAUCAUCAGGCUGGCAAGAACAGAACUAUCUGCUUCUCAAUCAAAUAGCAAAUUAUGUGGGCAACCGAACUGCUGUUCUUUGUAGAAAAUUAUUAUUUAUUUUUUAUUUAACAAAAGUCAAGGCUGAGAGGGUGCUCCACGGUGCCCUUCUGUGGUUUUAGUGUUUCCUCUGCUUUGGCUCAGCCCCGGCUUGUUUAUCAUGCAUGUGUUGUAUUGCAAAUGUGGAACAAAUGAAGCUGAGAUAUCAAAUUAAUACUGUGAUCUGUUUUUCUGUCUUGUUGCCAUAACAAUCUGUGGCUCUUGAAGCAAAGAGAAAAUUAGAAUUGUAUUAAAGGUGUUUACACCAUGUA